RNAcentral lists this ribosomal RNA (1343 nucleotides) under uncultured bacterium. RNAcentral's name for it is "16S ribosomal RNA". It matches the Rfam family "Bacterial small subunit ribosomal RNA", at positions 28 to 1378 of the family's 1533-position model. The record is from RNAcentral.
GACGAACGCUGGCGGCGUGCUUAACACAUGCAAGUCGAACGGAAAGGCCCUGCUUUUGUGGGGUGCUCGAGUGGCGAACGGGUGAGUAACACGUGAGUAACCUGCCCUUGACUUUGGGAUAACUUCAGGAAACUGGGGCUAAUACCGGAUAGGAGCUCCUGCUGCAUGGUGGGGGUUGGAAAGUUUCGGCGGUUGGGGAUGGACUCGCGGCUUAUCAGCUUGUUGGUGGGGUAGUGGCUUACCAAGGCUUUGACGGGUAGCCGGCCUGAGAGGGUGACCGGCCACAUUGGGACUGAGAUACGGCCCAGACUCCUACGGGAGGCAGCAGUGGGGAAUAUUGCACAAUGGGCGGAAGCCUGAUGCAGCAACGCCGCGUGCGGGAUGACGGCCUUCGGGUUGUAAACCGCUUUCGCCUGUGACGAAGCGUGAGUGACGGUAAUGGGUAAAGAAGCACCGGCUAACUACGUGCCAGCAGCCGCGGUGAUACGUAGGGUGCGAGCGUUGUCCGGAUUUAUUGGGCGUAAAGGGCUCGUAGGUGGUUGAUCGCGUCGGAAGUGUAAUCUUGGGGCUUAACCCUGAGCGUGCUUUCGAUACGGGUUGACUUGAGGAAGGUAGGGGAGAAUGGAAUUCCUGGUGGAGCGGUGGAAUGCGCAGAUAUCAGGAGGAACACCAGUGGCGAAGGCGGUUCUCUGGGCCUUUCCUGACGCUGAGGAGCGAAAGCGUGGGGAGCGAACAGGCUUAGAUACCCUGGUAGUCCACGCUGUAAACGGUGGGUACUAGGUGUGGGGUCCAUUCCACGGGUUCCGUGCCGUAGCUAACGCUUUAAGUACCCCGCCUGGGGAGUACGGCCGCAAGGCUAAAACUCAAAGGAAUUGACGGGGCCCCGCACAAGCGGCGGAGCAUGCGGAUUAAUUCGAUGCAACGCGUAGAACCUUACCUGGGUUUGACAUGGAUCGGGAGCGCUCAGAGAUGGGUGUGCCUCUUUUGGGGUCGGUUCACAGGUGGUGCAUGGCUGUCGUCAGCUCGUGUCGUGAGAUGUUGGGUUAAGUCCCGCAACGAGCGCAACCCUUGUUCACUGUUGCCAGCACGUUAUGGUGGGGACUCAGUGGAGACCGCCGGGGUCAACUCGGAGGAAGGUGGGGAUGACGUCAAGUCAUCAUGCCCCUCAUGUCCAGGGCUUCACGCAUGCUACAAUGGCUGGUACAGAGAGUGGCGAGCCUGUGAGGGUGAGCGAAUCUCGGAAAGCCGGUCUCAGUUCGGAUUGGGGUCUGCAACUCGACCUCAUGAAGUCGGAGUCGCUAGUAAUCGCAGAUCAGCAACGCUGCGGUGAAUACGUUCCCGGG